GGGGGUGGGGCGGGGGAGGGGCUCUGGAAAGAACUGUAACACUUUAGCUUUGUGCAAAGCAAUUUUCCAUUACAGGAGAACUGAACAGAAAUUGAAACGCGAGGCUCAAUGCCCUGCCGCCCAGCUUGGUGGCUCUGUCGCUCGCUCCCAGACUGCUGCUGGAAGCUUGCCCACUUGGCAGCUUUGAAAGGUCUCACCCUUUCCCUGCGUUUGCAAGUGAAGGGGAGCCAGGGGAGAGCCACAUGACAAUGAGGUUGCCAGUUGACACCUUUGUGAUGUCAGCAGCCUCAGGAGACUGCCUGGCUGAGGGAAAGAGAUUCCUCACCUCUCCUUCUGGGUGGUGUGAGGGUGUUUUAUGUGUCUUGUGUUGUUACAUAGAUUGCCUGUGAUUUAAGGAAACACGAUAGCCACUAUUUACUAUUUACCCUGUGUCAAGAAUGUGAUCCUCCCAGCAACGCAAUGAGUCAUAUUGCAUGACCCUCAUCUUAUGAAUGAAGAAACAGAAGCUCCCAGAGGUGCCACUCGCCCGUGGUCACAGAGCUGAACUCAGGCACGUGGCCACAUCUAACAGCAAGGGAGUCUGGAAAACACAGUUCAGCUGUGUGAAGGAUAUUUAUAAACAUUUAGCAAGAUCCAAAGGAAUGGACCAUAGCACAGCCCUGUUUUCUUUAGACGCUGACUCCUGCUGUCUACCAGAUCCUCGUGGUACAAUGACUGGUGUAGACUGGCUUGUUGAAGUCACUCUCUGGAUCUGAGCAACGCUGGCUGAGCCGUGAUGAAGUAUUCCUAUCCAUCCACUAUGCUUCACAGUGGGAAUCUCUCACUGUUCAUCACCGCUGCCCUAGCAGCCGCAGGGAUUCUUCACCCAUGGUUGCUUAGGUUUAUAAGCAAGGAAGCUGAAUGAAGUCCCUUUCCUCUCUGGAUGAGCCCCUGGGUUUCUGGAAGAGUCUUAAAAUCACCCCUAAAUGGCUUCCAAGCACUGAAGCCCGAGAUGUUAGCUGGCCUGUGUGAGGCCUUGAGACAGAAUGCCACAGCCACACCCCAAGGAUGCUGAAGGGGAUUUCCCUCCUCUGUGGUUUUUCUCCUUUCUUCCCGCAGCACUCCUCCUACGUGCUAACAUCUUCUAGUCAAACAACUCUCCUUUUCAAAGGGACCAGGCACAGUUUCUGCUUAUCCCUGAGUAGCAGUGUUCAGUUUCCUGCCAGCCUGUGGAGUUUUUCAAACAAGCCAAUCACCUCCUCCUGUGGGAACUGAGAAGCACCCCACCCUCUCGAUACUACAAAGCCCCUGCUUGUUCCCUAGUGCAACUCCCAUGUGGUCCUGUGGAGCAUAUGGUAUCUUCCUCUUCUGGGCAGUGAGCAUAUGUGACUAAUAAACUAUCUAUCU
This 1386-nucleotide long non-coding RNA is filed under the name Homo sapiens (human). Its description in RNAcentral is "HSALNT0296310". The record is from RNAcentral. Lineage: Eukaryota; Metazoa; Chordata; Mammalia; Primates; Hominidae.